UGCCUCUGACCUCUCUAUGGCAAGCCAAAUGGCCAUGGGAAGACCCCAUGGAGUGUUAGAAUGAUGCCGUUGAGGGCAAGGAUUUUAGACCGGUCAUGGAUUCUGCCUGUGCACUGGGCUCUACCACUUUCUAGCUAUCUGGCUACCAGCAAGUUACUUUAACAGUCUAAGUUUCAACCUCCCCAUUCGUGAAAUGGAGAUAAUGUCUUAGUCAUAGGGGUAGCAAGUUUACUGUAUAUCAAGAGUGUAGCACUGAGCCUGGCUCUUCAUAAGGAAACAGGCUGAGAGACGCAAGUCAAACAGCAAAGGAUGGGCUGGUGUCUGUCUGACUCCAAUACCAGUGGUCUUUUCUCUAUAACCUAAAGCAAUAAAACCCCUGCAACAUCUA
RNAcentral lists this long non-coding RNA (388 nucleotides) under Pongo abelii (Sumatran orangutan). RNAcentral describes it as "lincRNA". The record is from RNAcentral. Lineage: Eukaryota; Metazoa; Chordata; Mammalia; Primates; Hominidae.